RNAcentral lists this long non-coding RNA (1409 nucleotides) under Manacus vitellinus (golden-collared manakin). Its description in RNAcentral is "lncRNA (ENSMVIG00005015316.1)". Lineage: Eukaryota; Metazoa; Chordata; Aves; Passeriformes; Pipridae. The record is from RNAcentral.
GGGUUCUGAAUUACAGUUGUGUCACAAUGGGACAGAGUUUUCCCUUGACCCUGGAAACCCCGUGGCCACACAGGCAUUGGUGGAUCCCAUCCCAGACAUACCCUGUCCCAGGAGGUCACACCUGUUCACCCUCUGGGUGGCUCUGGGGCUGCUGGUGGUGGGAUGCCUCCGUCUCAUCCCUUCUGGGUUCCAACAGGCUGCGUCCCCUGAGGUGUCCAUCUCCGUACAUCCUGGUUGGGUAAGUUUUGCUUUGCUGAACUUGAAUGAAGUCAGUCACACUCUUGCCAAUUUGAGGUGCCCAGGGGUCCUGCGGCCCCAGCUGAACCCCCUUCCUCCUGCCAGUAGCCAGCUUCAGAUCUCCAGGUACCCUGUCCCCCAUCGUGGGAUGGAGGAGUGGAUCUGGUUUGCUGGUUUUUAACUGAGUGACUUUUCUGGUGCAGGUUCCUGGUUCACCAUGGACCUGAUGAAGAAUGCAAGGCGAUGGAAGCUGCCUGCAGCACUGGACAUGUACAAGAGUAUGUACCAGAAGGACUUUUGCUGGCACAACACCUACGAGCCACCCAACCAGGAGAACGUACCGAUAACUUCAUACCAUCCUACUUCAGAUGGCUACGUACCAAGGUGCUACCUACCCAAGUCCGAGCCUCCCAUCCAAGCGACACCAGGCCGGUCAGGGAAACUGGAGAUCCUCUCUGAGCCGCAGGAAGGGCUGCUCUGUUGUUGCCGGGAUCUCCCACCUCCUGCUCCAGCAGCCGGAACAGAAGGGACGAUGCUGCACAGGGAGAAAGUGUCCCCAGGCUUGGUCUCCUACGUGCAAUUCACCCGGGAUUUGUACCGGGAAAGGCUGGACAAUGCUGAUCAAUACAAAAACAAGAUGCUGGGCUCAUCUGUUGUGAUGGAAGACUGCUCUGUACCUGACUGGAGAAGUACCUACCAGCUGGAUUUCCCACGCCGGACAGGAGUCCAUGGUGGAUUAUACACAGAGCAGACGAGGCCUUCUCCCGUUUUCCCUGCAGACAGCCGCCUCAACCAGGGCCGCUGGGUAUCUGAGUAUGCAGACAACUACAGUGUUUUCUUGAAGAAGCUGGACUGGUCCACUCCAAUCCCUUGUCCAUGGAUGCUGUCUGGGAAGGAUAUGCGAUGGAGACCGCGAUGCACACCACGAUGCCCUGAGUGGUGCUAAGGUGGCCAUGCUCCUUGGCCCUCCAAGCUGCCUGUAAUAUUGCUCAUCCAAGACCCUGAAAGCCUGGAAACCUCCUCUCUUCCAAACCAUGUCUAUCAGAUGUGAAACGUAUGGCAAAGACCUCUUUAAGUGCAAAUUAUCAUUAAAAUCUCCCAAGAACCUCAGCUUUUAUCAUUGUCAGAAAAAGACUUUUUUGGGGGAACAGUGUGGGCUACAGAGCCAAGUC